This 255-nucleotide ribosomal RNA is filed under the name Triticum aestivum (bread wheat). RNAcentral describes it as "partial small subunit ribosomal RNA". The record is from RNAcentral. Lineage: Eukaryota; Viridiplantae; Streptophyta; Magnoliopsida; Poales; Poaceae.
AUGAUGACCAAGUACAUGAGGAACAAUGUGCAAGGAGUUGUGCUACUUUUUUCUCUUCUUGUGGUGUGUUUGACUUGUCUUGGAGGCACAUAUGGUGGAAUCAUAAACGACAAGGGGAGCAAUAUGAUGAGCAAAAAUGCUUCAUCAGCUGUCCCUGCAAGAUUAAUUGCACACCAGCAGCAACAACAACACAAUAGUUCUGUUAUCUCCCCUAUUUUGGGUGGACAAAUAUCAACUUUAUGGUUCUCAAAAUAA